Molecule: long non-coding RNA, 1454 nt
Filed under: Populus tremula
Lineage: Eukaryota; Viridiplantae; Streptophyta; Magnoliopsida; Malpighiales; Salicaceae
Description: long non-coding RNA (PTRE_LNC001216)
Source: RNAcentral
CCACCUCAGCGUCUUCUUCCAUGGAUCACGAAUCUCGGCAGCAAAUCGACCCCACGGCCUCUUCCUCACGCCUCUGAAAUGGCGUUGGGGCUCAUUCUUCGCCUGUACUGCUGGAAAGGAAGGAGCUGAAGAACCAACAAGGGAGAGGUUGAUUUCACAUAUAACUUCUCUGAAUCUCUAUAACAUUUCACAUAUGCAUCCUGUCAACAUUCUUUCAUUAUCAUUUUUUUCAGCCCUUUCUACAACAAGAUCAUAAUUGAUUAAUGACGUUGCUGAAUUUCUUCUGGCAAUUUUUUUUAUUUUAUGGUUGCAGACAAGAUGUUGGGUCUAAAACGGCCUAUACUACUGUAGAUUCGAGAAAAAAGUUUGAUUUUAUAGCAGUAAGUUUUAAUGAUGUUUUUUCCUUUUUAAUUAAUUAAUUAGUCUAUCCUCUAUUAUAUUUAUUGUAUUUGUUUUUCAAUGCAGAGGUCAGAGACACAGUUGUUGUUUUGAAUGCUCAACAAAUCCAUAUCUAAGGUAACCAUUUGUAGUUUUUUAUUGGGUUUUUAUUUUACUGUAUUGCUUGCGCAAAUGUUUGUGAUUGCUUUAAUUGGGUUUUUAUUCUGGAGCAAUGAAAGGAAUGUUUGUAGAAUUGAAAACCCAUGUUUGUGCUUUAUUUUCGUUGAUAAUUGAAAACCCAUGUUUAAGCACUGAAAGGAAUGUAUAUAUCUUGAUCUAGUGCUUGCGGCAUUGCAAAUUAAUUAGUCAGAAUUGCAAAUUAAUUAUUUUAUGUUUUUCAAAUUAGUCAAAUUGACACAACAAUAUGAGGAAGUGCAGAAUAUGUAAAACCGUUUUCCAAACCAAGUAGGCAGAAUUGAAAACCCAUGUUUGUGUUUUAUUUUCGUUGAUAAUUAAGGAAAUGAGAGAUUCCUUAUCUGUAUUUUGAUCUUCAGUGUACUUGUUGGUGGAAAAUCAUAUUGAUUUUAUUCUUUAUAUGAAAAAUUGUUUUUGCUUCUAUUUGGAUUUUUGUUUCCCUGUUCAACUUCCUAUUUUCAUUCUAUUCCUUGGAAUUUCUCUUGAAAAUUGCCCAAAAUCUGAUGUGGAAUACUUUUAUUUUUAUAUCUUCUAAUUUAAUUUAUCAAGUUAUAAUUUUUUAUUUUUUAUUUCAGGUUUUGAUGGUAACAAUUGGACUAUUGGAAUGUUUUAUGAUAAUGUUAUUUGUUGUUUUUGUUAAGCCCUUUGAAGGCAAUGCUUUGUAAUUUGUAUUUUAACUUGUUGGUAUGUGUUAUUUAAACUUAUCUGCAGCAGGAGUCCUGCCCACUCAAACAAAACAAAUGAAAAAUUAUUAGGAAGGCAACAAUGAAUAUUCGGUUGCAAAAAACAACCCAAAAAAAGAAUUGAUUUGGUUAAGAAUCUUAUAAGAAAAGUAGACAAUAUUAUCAUUAAUUACAAGCCCAUCAAAAAUUUAAUCAAAA